ACGUUUGCCAUUGAUACAAAAGAUUGAUUAAAUUAAUGAGACAGCACAUUCCCGAUAGCGAAAUUCGACCGAGCUGAUAUAGCGGAACCUUCAUGUCCUCCAGACCUAUCGUCAGUCGGCAAACUACCUCAUAGACACAAAAAUUGACCGGAAACAAAAUUAAAAGAAGAGAUAUAGUGAAUGAGAUAGAGAUAAAGUUGAAAUGAAACAAAGAAAAAUGUGAGAAACUUAUAUACGUGAGAUUGCUGGAACUGUGCAUAAAAAAAUCAAAUCCUUUAGGAUUCAGCUGGCCAGAUGUUGAAAAAAUUGUUGGAGCAUCUGACAGAUGGUUUUCAGCAUAUCACCAACAAUAUCAACAGACCAGAGCAACUUACUUCUUUGAGGGCAUCGUCCGUCGUUAAGUUGACGGAAUUGUACGAGUCGACGUCUACGUCCGGGUCCUGGAAUGAAG
Cimex lectularius (bed bug) is the source of this 451-nucleotide long non-coding RNA. RefSeq lists it as uncharacterized. The transcript has 4 exons. The record is from RefSeq and is a predicted model, not a curated record. NCBI's taxonomy places the organism in Eukaryota, Metazoa, Arthropoda, Insecta, Hemiptera, Cimicidae.